CCUAAGGUAGCGAAAUUCCUUGUCGGGUAAGUUCCGACCUGCACGAAUGGCGUAACGACUUCCCCACUGUCUCGACCAGGAGCUCGGCGAAAUUGCAGUACGAGUAAAGAUGCUCGUUAAGCGCAGAAGGACGAAAAGACCCCGGGACCUUUACUAUACCUUGGUAUUGGCGUUAGGCGCGGAUUGUGUAGCAUAGGCGGGAGGCUUCGAAGCGGGUGCGCCAGCAUUCGUGGAGCCGCAAGGUGAAAUACCGCUCUGUUCUCGUUUGACGUCUAACCUCGACAAGUCAUCCUUGUCAGGGACAGUGCCUGGCGGGUAGUUCAACUGGGGCGGUUGCCUCCCAAAGAGUAACGGAGGCGCUCAAAGGUCCGCUCAGCCCGGUUGGCAAUCGGGUGUCGAGUGUAAUCGCACAAGCGGGCUUGACUGCGAGGACGACGGUCCGAGCAGGGACGAAAGUCGGAGAUAGUGAUCCGGUGCCGGCGCACGGGCGCGGCAUCGCUCAACGGAUAAAAGGUACCCCGGGGAUAACAGGCUGAUCAUUCCCAAGAGUCCAUAUCGACGGGAUGGUUUGGCACCUCGAUGUCGGCUCGUCGCAUCCUGGGGCUGGAGCAGGUCCCAAGGGUUCGGCUGUUCGCCGAUUAAAGCGGCACGCGAGCUGGGUUCAGAACGUCGUGAGACAGUUUGGUCUCUAUCCUCUGCGCUCGUUGGAAUCCUGAGGAGGCCUGCCCAUAGUACGAGAGGACCUGGGUGGACGAACCUCUGGUAUGCCGGUUGUCGCGCCAGCGGCACGGCCGGUUGGCUACGUUCGGGAGGGAUAACCGCUGAAAGCAUCUAAGCGGGAAGCCUGCUCCAAGAUUAGGAUUCCAUGGAUCUUCGAGAUCCUGUAGCCCGCAUGUUGAACACGUGUUUGAUAGGCCGGAGGUGGAAGUCCCGUGAGGGGUGGAGCCGACCGGUACUAACGGGCGAUGGCGACAUAAC
RNAcentral lists this ribosomal RNA (978 nucleotides) under human gut metagenome. RNAcentral's name for it is "bacterial LSU rRNA". It matches the Rfam family "Bacterial large subunit ribosomal RNA", at positions 1950 to 2925 of the family's 2925-position model. The record is from RNAcentral.